Molecule: non-coding RNA, 1044 nt
Organism: Polypterus senegalus (gray bichir)
Lineage: Eukaryota; Metazoa; Chordata; Cladistia; Polypteriformes; Polypteridae
Source: the annotation of a RefSeq genome assembly
AGUACAGCAAGCAUCUAGAGAAGCUGAGGGGCUCCUCAGACAAACCUUCGUGGAGGUGAUGAGCAUCACUGUCUGACAGGAAGAAUCCGAAAAGAUGAAGGUCGGUGGUGAUGUCUUUCUGCUCUGUGUCCUUUUUGCAGGUCCUCUAGAUGCCAGGAGCUUCAAGGUGACAUCUCUCCCAGGUGUCACCAUGUCCCUGAACUGUUCAAACAACAGAAGUAACUCCCCGAUGUUCUGGUACAGACAGCUCUCUGACCAGCCUCCUCAGCCCGUGAUGCAGUCAUUCACAGCUCAGUCUUCAGACCACUAUCUCUACAAUCAUCCUCAAGAGAAGUUCUCAAGUAAAGAAGGUCACACUUUAGUCAUCAAGAAUGUAAGCCAUGAGGACUCGGCAGUUUACUACUGUGUCAAUCUCAAACAAAUCCCCCUCAGAUUCACUGAUGGAGUUCAUCUCAUUGUUGAGCCUGAGCGUUUAUACCAGAAGGCUGAAGUUUUUCCUGUGUCUUUAAUUGUCCCGGCCGUCCUGUUGGCUGUGAUGACCCCCUUUGCUGUGUAUUUAGCAUACAGACUGACAUGUAAGGAAAAAUCAAGAAGAAUGUCCGGAGUUGUGGAUCUGAUCCAGAGGAGGGUGGUGUCCAACUAGAAGGUGACUACCAGACGCUCUCUCACAAGGAUCAGGCUGUGUAUGAAGUGUGCGCCCCACAAACAAACACAAAAAAGCAGUGAGCCAAGGACGUCGAGUCUUCAUUUCCUCCUCUUUUCUCCCGGAUCUGCAUUGACAUGAAAACCUUAGCCUCAGUUAAGCUGCUCACAGUCUGACCAACAGAGGGCGCCAUGGCUUUAGGUUUUCCAAGAGAGUCCCCAGCUGUUGACUUCUGCACCCAGCGUGACUUUGACUCUGUGACGUGGCUCACCCGGUGGCCCCGUUCUGAUCUGAUCUUUCCAUCUGCUCCUUUUAAUCUCCAUUCGGUUUCAUUUCUUUCACAUUGUCACGUUUCUCAGAUAAAAUAAUAAAUCACUCACAACUCCUGGUUUGCUCGUUAA